AAAUUUUUUUAUGAAGGCAGCUAGGUCCACCCUAGAAUUUUGGACCAACCUAUCUGAUUCGAUAAUCGAUAUGGGCCAGGAAAAUAAUAUAAAAAAAUAAAAGGGAAAUAGCUAUUCCUGAUCCUCUGUCCAGGCUGAGAAAAAAAUUAACGCAGCCAGGAUUGCCCCUAGCCGCCGAGACACAUCCAUAAUUCUAGACCCAGUCAUCGACACAUCGAGCCAGCCGCUCGCUUCCUCGCGACCUCCCGAUUCCGCCAUCUCGCUCGCUCGUCGCUCGCCGUCCCCGCCUAUGUAGCCGAUCGUUGGGCGCCCAGGACCACAGCCUGUCCAUCCCGCCCGCUCGGUGUUUGGGGCUCGGCGGCGGCCGCGCCACCUCAAUUGCAGAGUCUUGCCCCUACAAGCCGGCGCCGCUGCCCAAUCUGCACAUCAGCGCUCGGCCAAGAGGAAGUAGCCAGCCAGCAAGCAUCCGUGUUGAUUUGCGGGAAACAAUGAGAAGCACUGAGGUUUACAAGAUGGCUUCACUGAUGAUUACCUCUCAAACCACCUAUGUGGUUAGGAGGCGAGGAAAGUUUUCAUACAACACCCACGGUUCAAUAUUGAAGUGUUCCUGAAGAGGUCGAAGGAUGGACGGUCAAUCAUCCACAAGCACUGGCCUAAAGUUGCAAAGACCUUUAACUUGAAUGAAGGCUCAAUAUUCGCCUUCCGCUUCAGCAGUUUUCCAGAUAAGAUGCAUCUCUGUAUGUACCAUCUAUGAUGCUAUUUUCGAAAGGUUCUAGAUGUUGCAUGUGAAACUUGCUGCUAGUGUAGUUGUGUAAUGGGGUAGCUGAGUGCUGAAGCUAUAUCAAGUUGUACUCCGAUGUAUUUCAAUUAUGAAAUCCUUCUUCCUUAAUAUGGAAAUGGAAUAUAUUAUGUGCUUAAUAUGAAUGUCAAUUAGAUUAGUAAAUGGAUUAUUAUUAAUAGGGCCACUAGCCCGCUAAUUGGGUUUUCCUAUUGCAAAUGGUUAAUGAGAAAACACCGUGGGCGAUGACAUCAGGCAACGCACACAGUUUCUAGAAAUAAACCAUGUUGGAUCAAUGAACAAUCCCACAUGACAUUCUUUUUAAAACUAUUUUCGUAACAAAACACUCUUUACUAAAACUAACUUAGUUGUGUCUUUAUCUAAACAUCCCCUAGAUUUUAUUUACGCGCUCUUUAUUAUCUUUCAAACCUAUCCAACAACACCUACAAAGUACUUCUAGUUUCAUACUUGUUCUAGGUAAAGCAAACAUCAAGUGUGCGUAGAGUUGUAUUGGUGGUCGAUAGAACUUGAGGAAAUAUUUGUUCUGCCUUUAGCUCCUCGUUGGGUUCGACACUCUUACUUAUCGAAAACUGUUGCGAUCCCCUAUACUUGUGGGUUAUCAAGACCUUUUUCUGGCGCCGUUGCCGGGGAGUCAUAGCGUGGGGUGAAUAUUCUCGUGUGUGCUUGUUUGCUUUAUCACUAACUAAUUUUUAUUUUCCAUUCUUAGUUGUUCUUUAUCUUUAGUUAUGGAUAUGGGACACGAAAUACCAAAAAAAUUGGGUGUACUUUCUGCUCAUGGAGAUGGGGAACCUCCUAAAAUCCUUGAUGCUGGUUAUGUGAAAGAUAUUAUGUAUUAUUUUAAUAAUCCUGAGAAAACCUCAUUCAAUUAUGUAAUGGGAGUAACAUUGGAUCAACGUGAAUACUUUAGGGAUUACCGCUUGACACAAAAAGAGAAACUAUUAUGGGAUCAAAUUCAUAUAUUGAAUUGGUAUGCUAGGCAACUAUGCUUGAGAUAUGAUUAUACUUGUUGCUCUAGGAUGAAGGCUCCACACCUUCCCUUUUUAUGCGAAUUUAAUGAUAAUAAAACCUUAGCUUCUUAUGCUAAUGGUAUAUAUGAUUACUAUGAUGUGGAACAAAUAGAAGAAUUUGUUGCUUUUAUGGGUGCUUAUGAAAUUGAAUCUAUGUUUAAAGAGUUUGAAGAUUUUGAUGAUUCGGUUUAUAGACCUGAAAAUUUAGCUAUCCUUAAAUAUUGCUAUGAGAAUUAGGAAUACAAUUCCGAUAUUGAUGCACUUAUUGAGAAAGUCUCCGCUGUCCAAGAAGAGACUAAUAUUUUGCAGGAAUCUAUGGAAGAAGAAGUUGAUCAAACUGUGAGCUCAUUGGAUGAAAAAGAUGAGGAGGAGAGCGAAGAACAAAAGGAGGAAGAACGGAUUGAGCACCCGUGCCCACCUUCUAAUGAGAGUAACUCUUCAACUCAUACAUUGUUUAAUUUCCCUUCGUGCUUAUUGAAGGAUGAAUGCUAUGAUAAUUGCUAUGAUCCCGUUGAUUCUUUUGAAAUAUCCCAUUUUGAUGAUGCUUGCUAUGCUUGUGGCCAAGAUGCCAAUAUGAAUUAUGCUUAUGAAGAUGAACUUGCUAUAGUUCCACAUGUUAAACAUGAAAUUGUUGCUAUUGAACCCAUGCAUGAUAGUCCUAUUAUCUUUUUGAAUUCUCCCGACUAAACUAUAUCGGAGAAGUUUGCACUUAUUAAGGAUUAUAUUGAUGGGUUGUGUUUUAAUAUUACACAUGAUGAUUUUGAUGAAUAUAAUAUGCAUGUGCUUGCUGCUCCUACUUGCAAUUAUUACGAGAGAGGAACUAUAUCUCCACCUCUCUAUGUUUCCCACGCGAUAAAAUUGCAAGAAACUGUUUACACUACGCAUUGGCCUUUACUAUGUGUGCAAGAAUUGUUCUUUUAUGACAUGUCGAUGCAUAGGAAGAGAGUUAGACUUCGUCAUUACAUAAUAUAUGUUGCUUUGUGCUCACUACUAAAUUACAAAUCUUUGUUAAUUAAAAUUGUCUUUGAUAUACCUUGGGAUCCGGGUGGAUUUACUACUUGAGCACUAUAUGCCUAGCUUAAUGGCUUUAAAGAAAGCGCUGCCAGGGAGAGAACCCGGAAGUUUUAGAGAGUCAUUUAUUUCUGUUGAGUACUUUUAUAUAAUUUAAAAACAAAAUAAAAAUAAAGAGGGGAACCCAAAACUUUUCAACAAAAGUAAUUAUCCCCUUGUACAAUUCCAUUGUAUUAUAAAAAUAAUGUGCCAAGGUUUGCCUUUAGGAUGUUUACAUUUGCUUGAUGGUUUGUAUGGUGCAGGACAGAAACUUUGGCUGUAGUGCGCGAUUUUACAUUUUUAGCUGGAAUGUCAAAUGAUUCUGAUUCUUUUUGCACUGUCUUUAUAUACAAAUUUUUUAUUUUUCCUAAUUUUGGAAGAAUAUUUCAAGUAUCAGAAGUAUGGUGAAUAUUCAGAUUGUUACAGACUGUUCUGUUUUAGACAGAUUCUGUUUUUGAUGAAUAGUUUGCUUGUUUUGAUAAAACUAACGAUUUAUAUCGGUGGAUUAAGCCAUGAAAAAGUUAUAUUACAGUAUACACAAUGAAAAAACAAAAUAUGAAUUGGUUUGCAACAGUACUUAGAUUAGUGAUUUGCUUUAUUAUACUAACGGAUCUUACCGAGUUUUCUGUUGAAAUUUUGUGUGGAUGAAGUGUUCGAUGAUUGAGAAGGUCUCGAUGUGAGAAGAAGGAAGAGAGGCAAGAGCUCAAGCUUGGGGAUGCCCGAGGCACCCCAAGUAAAUAUUCAAGAAGACUCAAGCAUCUAAGCGUGGGGAUGCCCCGGAAGGCAUCCCCUCUUUCUUCAACAAAUAUUGAUGACAGAUCUCAGGAGCCAGAUGACACCACUGAUGACUACUGCUACCCGAGGGUGCCUACUACUACGUGACGGCCGCUGACGACUUGGAGUAGUUAGGAGGCUCCCAGGCAGGAGGCCUUGCCUUUUCGAUCAAUGUUGCUUUUGUGCUAGCCUUCCUUGUCUAACUUAUGUGUGUACUCAGAUAUUGUUGCUUCCGCUGACUCUUGUGUAUUCGAGCUUAUGUAUUCGAGCCCUCGAGGCCCCUGG
RNAcentral lists this ribosomal RNA (3915 nucleotides) under Triticum aestivum (bread wheat). RNAcentral's name for it is "partial small subunit ribosomal RNA". Lineage: Eukaryota; Viridiplantae; Streptophyta; Magnoliopsida; Poales; Poaceae. The record is from RNAcentral.